This 781-nucleotide long non-coding RNA is filed under the name Elaeis guineensis (African oil palm). RNAcentral's name for it is "long non-coding RNA (EGUI_LNC038523)". The record is from RNAcentral. Lineage: Eukaryota; Viridiplantae; Streptophyta; Magnoliopsida; Arecales; Arecaceae.
AGGUAUCAUUAUUAGAUAGUCAUUUCGAUUAGUAUAAGAAGAGUUCCUAUACUAUUGGCUUAGUAUUCGAACCUAUGGAGUCACAUACAAAGUCAAACGAUAUAGGAAAGAAUUGAUCGAAUACUUAUAUGUUCAAUUUGAAAGUAUGAAAUUUGAUUGAAUAUAUAGAUUAACUUAAUUAAGAAUUAAAUUAUAUAUCAUAUAGAAUUAAACACUAACUACGUCCAGCUAGCACUACACAUAAGUCGCAGAUUUAAUUUCGGAGAUGAAUUUGAUCAAAUCUAUAAUUCAAGAAAUUAUGAGAGAUUAGAUUCGAGCUCUAAUUACUUUAGUUUAGAUCUAAAUUGGUUAGACUUGAUUUUAUUAAGGCUAAAUUAGAUUAAUUAUCUAAGUUAGAUUUGGACCUAAAUCUUAAAUAGAUUAGGAUUAGCAGUCUUUUCGAAGUUAGUUCGAAUCGGAUUCAAAUUAGAUUUGAAUUAAAUCCAAAUCUAAACCAAAUUAGUUUUAGUGCACUUAGCCAUAUUUUUUUGAUAUUCUCUUACCUAUUUAGCAGACCAAGAUGGAGGAGAGGGCAUUGAAAAUUAGCCCCUCCCCUUGGGCAUGCAGCAUAAGGGACAGAGGCACCAAUUAAGGGAGAGAGGUGCAAGUUGGCAUCUCUCCUACUUUCCUUAGGAAUUUUUGUGAUUGAGAAAGUUUGUAUUUGAUUCAAACUAGAAGGGUCCUAUUCCUAAUCCAUGAAGGUAUUUGAUUUGAUCUAGGACUUCUUAUCUAUUUAAAGAGG